GCUCGUGUCGUGAGAUGUUGGGUUAAGUCCCGCAACGAGCGCAACCCCUACUGCCAGUUGCCAGCGAGUAAAGUCGGGCACUCUGGCGGGACUGCCGGUGACAAACCGGAGGAAGGCGGGGAUGAGGUCAAGUCAUCAUGCCCUUUAUGCCUUGGGCUACACACGUACUACAAUGGCCGGUACAGAGGGAAGCUAAGGCGCGAGCCGGAGCGGAUCCCAUAAAGCCGGUCCCAGUUCAGAUCGCAGGCUGCAACCCGCCUGCGUGAAGUCGGAAUCGCUAGUAAUCUCAGGUCAGCAUACUGAGGUGAAUACGUUCCCGGGCCUUGUACACACCGCCCGUCACACCACGAAAGUUUGCAACGCCCGAAGCCGGUGGCCUAACCCGCAAGGGAGGGAGCCGUCUAAGGCAGGGCAGAUGAUUGGGGUGAAGUCGUAACAAGGUAGCCGUA
This 449-nucleotide ribosomal RNA is filed under the name bacterium enrichment culture clone H3. Its description in RNAcentral is "bacterial SSU rRNA". It matches the Rfam family "Bacterial small subunit ribosomal RNA", at positions 1058 to 1504 of the family's 1533-position model. The record is from RNAcentral.